RNAcentral lists this ribosomal RNA (497 nucleotides) under uncultured bacterium. RNAcentral describes it as "partial 16S ribosomal RNA". It matches the Rfam family "Bacterial small subunit ribosomal RNA", at positions 28 to 507 of the family's 1533-position model. The record is from RNAcentral.
GAUGAACGCUGGCGGCGUGCCUAAUACAUGCAAGUCGAGCGAACAGACGAGGAGCUUGCUCCUCUGACGUUAGCGGCGGACGGGUGAGUAACACGUGGAUAACCUACCUAUAAGACUGGGAUAACUUCGGGAAACCGGAGCUAAUACCGGAUAAUAUAUUGAACCGCAUGGUUCAAUAGUGAAAGACGGGUUUGCUGUCACUUAUAGAUGGAUCCGCGCCGCAUUAGCUAGUUGGUUAGGUAACGGCUUACCAAGGCAACGAUGGGUAGCCGACCCGAGAGGGUCAUCGGCCACACUGGAACUGAGACACGGUCCAGACUCCUACGGGAGGCAGCAGUAGGGAAUCUUCCGCAAUGGGCGAAAGCAUGACGUUGCAACGCGGCGUGAGUGCUGAAGGUCUUCUGAUCGUAAAGCUCUGUUAUUAGUGGAGUACAAAUGUGUAAGUAACUAUGCACGUCUUGACGGUACCUAAUCAGAAAGCCACGGCUAACUACGUG